Molecule: ribosomal RNA, 501 nt
Filed under: uncultured bacterium
Lineage: Bacteria
Description: partial 16S ribosomal RNA
Rfam family: Bacterial small subunit ribosomal RNA
Source: RNAcentral
AUUGAACGCUGGCGGCAUGCCUUACACAUGCAAGUCGAACGGCAGCACGGGUGCUUGCACCUGGUGGCGAGUGGCGAACGGGUGAGUAAUACAUCGGAACGUACCUUAUCGUGGGGGAUAACGCAGCGAAAGCUGUGCUAAUACCGCAUACGCCCUGAGGGGGAAAGCGGGGGAUCGAAAGACCUCGCGCGAUUAGAGCGGCCGAUGCCUGAUUAGCUUGUUGGUGGGGUAAAAGCCCACCAAGGCGACGAUCAGUAGCUGGUCUGAGAGGACGAUCAGCCACACUGGGACUGGGACAAGGCCCAGACGCCUACGGGAGGCAGCAGUGGGGAAUUUUGGACAAUGGGGGCAACCCUGAUCCAGCAAUGCCGCGUGAGUGAAGAAGGCCUUCGGGUUGUAAAGCUCUUUUGUCAGGGAAGAAACACCGGCUCUAACACAGUCCGGGAAUGACGGUACCUGAAGAAUAAGCGCCGGCUAACUACGUGCCAGCAGCCGCCGUAA